UUUUAGUAGAGAGGUCUGUCUGGAGGGUUUUAGUAGAGGUCUGUCUGGAGGGUUUUAGUAGAGAGGUCUGUCUGUAGAGAGGUCUGUCUGGAGGGUUUUAGUAGAGAGGUCUGUCUGUAGAGAGGUCUGUCUGUAGAGAGGUCUGUCUGGAGGGUUUUAGUAGAGAGGUCUGUCUGUAGAGAGGUCUGUCUGGAGGGUUUUAGUAGAGAGGUCUGUCUGGAGGGUUUUAGUAGAGAGGUCUGUCUGUAGAGAGGUCUGUCUGGAGGGUUUUAGUAGAGAGGUCUGUCUGUAGAGAGGUCUGUCUGGAGGGUUUUAGUAGAGAGGUCUGUCUGUAGAGAGAUCUGUCUGGAGGGUUUUA
Molecule: long non-coding RNA, 358 nt
Organism: Oncorhynchus keta (chum salmon)
Lineage: Eukaryota; Metazoa; Chordata; Actinopteri; Salmoniformes; Salmonidae
Exons: 3
Source: RefSeq, a predicted model, not a curated record